UGUCUAAGUAUAAGCAAUUUAUACAGUGAAACUGCGAAUGGCUCAUUAAAUCAGUUAUCGUUUAUUUGAUAGUACCUUUACUACUUGGAUAACCGUGGUAAUUCUAGAGCUAAUACAUGCUAAAAAUCCCGACUGUUUGGAAGGGAUGUAUUUAUUAGAUAAAAAAUCAAUGCUCUUUGAGCUCUUUGAUGAUUCAUAAUAACUUUUCGAAUCGCAUGGCCUUGUGCUGGCGAUGGUUCAUUCAAAUUUCUGCCCUAUCAACUUUCGAUGGUAGGAUAGUGGCCUACCAUGGUUUCAACGGGUAACGGGGAAUAAGGGUUCGAUUCCGGAGAGGGAGCCUGAGAAACGGCUACCACAUCCAAGGAAGGCAGCAGGCGCGCAAAUUACCCAAUCCCGACACGGGGAGGUAGUGACAAUACAUAACGAUACAGGGCCCUUUCGGGUCUUGUAAUUGGAAUGAGUACAAUGUAAAUACCUUAACGAGGAACAAUUGGAGGGCAAGUCUGGUGCCAGCAGCCGCGGUAAUUCCAGCUCCAAUAGCGUAUAUUAAAGUUGUUGCAGUUAAAAAGCUCGUAGUUGAACUUUGGGCUUGGUUGGCCGGUCCGCCUUUUUGGCGAGUACUGGACCCAACCGAGCCUUUCCUUCUGGCUAACCAUUCGCCCUUGUGGUGUUUGGCGAACCAGGACUUUUACUUUGAAAAAAUUAGAGUGUUCAAAGCAGCCUUUGCUCGAAUAUAUUAGCAUGGAAAUAAUAGAAUAGACGUUAUGGUUCUAUUUUGUUGGUUUCUAGGACCAUCGUAAUGAUUAAUAGGGACGGUCGGGGGCAUCAGUAUUCAGUUGUCAGAGUGAAAUUCUUAGAUUUACUGAA
RNAcentral lists this ribosomal RNA (867 nucleotides) under Pichia sp. mYJdd14. RNAcentral describes it as "SSU rRNA". It matches the Rfam family "Eukaryotic small subunit ribosomal RNA", at positions 56 to 933 of the family's 1831-position model. Lineage: Eukaryota; Fungi; Ascomycota; Pichiomycetes; Pichiales; Pichiaceae. The record is from RNAcentral.